GAUGAAGAACGCAGCGAAAUGCGAUAAGUAAUGUGAAUUGCAGAAUUCAGUGAAUCAUCGAAUCUUUGAACGCAUCUUGCGCUCCUUGGUAUUCCUUGGAGCAUGCCUGUUUGAGUAUCAUGAGCAAAUCUCAAAGUCAAUUCCUUUUGUUAAUUCAAUUGGUUUUGCUUUGGACUUGGAGGUCUUGCAGAUUUCACAGUCUGCUCCUCUUAAAUGCAUUAGCUGGAUCUCAGUAAUUAUGCUUGGUUCCACUCGGCGUGAUAAGUAUCACUCGCUGAGGACACUGUUAAAAAGGUGGCCAGGAAAAUACUGAUUGAACCGCUUAACGGUCUAUUAAGUUAGACAAUUACCCUUAAGUUUGAUCUCAAAUCAGGUAGGACUACCCGCUGAACUUAAGCAUAUCAAUAAGCGGAGGA
RNAcentral lists this unclassified non-coding RNA (416 nucleotides) under soil metagenome. RNAcentral describes it as "partial contains 5.8S ribosomal RNA, internal transcribed spacer 2, and large subunit ribosomal RNA". The stretch from base 1 to 120 matches the Rfam family "5.8S ribosomal RNA", at positions 35 to 154 of the family's 154-position model. The record is from RNAcentral.